This 465-nucleotide ribosomal RNA is filed under the name uncultured bacterium. Its description in RNAcentral is "partial 16S ribosomal RNA". It matches the Rfam family "Bacterial small subunit ribosomal RNA", at positions 28 to 507 of the family's 1533-position model. The record is from RNAcentral.
GACGAACGCUGGCGGCGUGCUUAACACAUGCAAGUCGAACGGAAAGGCCCUGCUUGCAGGGUACUCGAGUGGCGAACGGGUGAGUAACACGUGGGUGAUCUGCCCUGCACUUCGGGAUAAGCCUGGGAAACUGGGUCUAAUACCGGAUAGGAGCCAUUUUUAGUGUGAUGGUUGGAAAGUUUUUUCGGUGUAGGAUGAGCUCGCGGCCUAUCAGCUUGUUGGUGGGGUAAUGGCCUACCAAGGCGGCGACGGGUAGCCGGCCUGAGAGGGUGGACGGCCACAUUGGGACUGAGAUACGGCCCAGACUCCUACGGGAGGCAGCAGUGGGGAAGAUUGCACAAUGGGCGCAAGCCUGAUGCAGCGACGCCGCGUGGGGGAUGACGGCCUUCGGGUUGUAAACUCCUUUCGCUAGGGACGAAGCUUUUUUUGACGGUACCUAGAUAAGAAGCACCGGCUAACUACGUG